CGAGCUUCCCAUGGAUGCUGACCUGUGGAGCAGGGUCAGGUAACUUGCACUGUAAGAGGCCUGCUCCUGUGGCUGAGCUGAAUGUGUACAAAGGAAAGUGAAGACAGAAGAAUCAUGGAGAGAGUGCAAGAGUUCUUGAGAUCAGAGAGUUGUAUGCAAGAUAUUUUCUACUCUUCAUUCUACUUAAUCUUCCUGAGAAGCCUUCGGAAGAUCAUCAGCAUUUCCCAACUGGGAAAGCUGAGGCUGACCCUGUGCACCACGGCGUGUGAAUUUACCUGCAGAGUACAUUGGAGAAAACAUUUAUAUUUAAGAAAAUAAGUCUUCCACAAAUACUUCAAAUCAUAUUAUUUCUAAAAAUCAUCAGUAAAAUGGAAAGAAAGGAAUGUUUGCCUAUAAUUGCUUUGGUAGACAGUCAUAGCAAAUGAACCUGAGAAAUGCAAUAUUCUAUCUCCAGAAUUGUUCACUGUCUCAAUUUCCCCUUUGAAAGUAUCAGCGAAGCCACU
RNAcentral lists this long non-coding RNA (503 nucleotides) under Chinchilla lanigera (long-tailed chinchilla). RNAcentral's name for it is "lncRNA (ENSCLAG00000026770.1)". The record is from RNAcentral. Lineage: Eukaryota; Metazoa; Chordata; Mammalia; Rodentia; Chinchillidae.